UUGAAUAAAGUGCAGAUUCUUGCGCUCACAAAAGAUACAGAGAAGAUUAGCAUGGCCUCUGUGCAAGGAUGACACCCAAACUGGUGAAGUAUUCCACAGGCCU
Small nuclear RNA from Diceros bicornis minor, 103 nucleotides. Lineage: Eukaryota; Metazoa; Chordata; Mammalia; Perissodactyla; Rhinocerotidae. The record is from RefSeq and is a predicted model, not a curated record.